Molecule: RNA transcript, 3733 nt
Organism: Agrilus planipennis (emerald ash borer)
Lineage: Eukaryota; Metazoa; Arthropoda; Insecta; Coleoptera; Buprestidae
Exons: 7
Source: RefSeq, a predicted model, not a curated record
AUGUAGAGCUUUAAUUUAAAAACACAACUUUUAGGUUAUGCUCAUAGAUAUAAGUUUGUCGUAGACCAUAGAUAAUAGAUACACAAACGGUUAUAGACAUAGACCUUUGUAUAUCUAUUACCUAUGGACAUAGAUCAAAUCAUAGAUAAUGAUCAAACAUAGAUAGACAUGUCAUAGAUACAAGAUAGACACAAGGGAAUAUUUUUAUCUAUGGGAAUAUUCAAAAAAUGUCGUGCAUUUUAUUGGUUAUAUUUUUGUUUACAUUUUUGUCAACUUUUUAAUUUUUUCAUCGGUGCCCGCAGUACCCACUUAAAAAUAAACAGAAUGACCCGUGUAUGUUGUAUUAACAAUUGUAAAAAUGCCAGUUCCAAGGAGAUAAAGAAAUCUGAAAACACCGUUUUUAAAUUUCCUUCUAGUCCUGAUAUGCGGAAAAAAUGGUUAGAAGUUUUAGGCAACAGCAAGCGUAUAAUUAAAAACCGAAAAAAUGAAGCCAUAUCUGACCUCUAUAUUUGUGAUUUGCAUUUUAAAGAAUCUGAUUUCUUGAAGGAUGCAACGUCCAAUUUUGUUGAUGGGAAAGAAGUAACAGUUUCGCGCAAGCGAAUACGUCUCAAAGCUAGUAGUGUGCCCUCAGUUAAAAUAAAUCCUGUUACAAGUUCAUUAAAUACGUGCAACAGCAACAAAAUAAGUUUCAUAACAACAAAAGACAUUUAUAAUGAUGACAAUGCUCCCAAGAUAUUGGAAUCACUCCCAGAAACUUAUGUUGUGGAACACGACUAUGGUUUACAUGAUUAUCCAGGACCAAUAUUUUGUACAAAUGCCAUUAUCAAUAUUGAUCCUGAAAGUCUUGAAUUGCCAAAAACAUGGGGAGUUACUGAGAAAAUAGUUCAAAAUAAGAAAUAUUUGUUGUUCAUGAAAGUAAUUACUCAAGCUAUGGAUCAACAAGAAACUGAACUGCUUCAAAAAUAUAUGCUCCUUGAUUGUACAGGAAAGAAUGCGAGUUAUUUUGUUUAUGGACACCAAGUCAAAGAUAUGGCACUAUUGCCAGAGUUUAUUCACAAUACAGACACAUUACUGAGAAGUUUGAAGAUAUUCGAGGUGAUGAAUGUGUGUGAAGGAUUGGGGCGAAUUGACCCUUCUUUAAUACGAAAGUCCAAAGUGUUGAGAGAUUCUGCAAACUAUUUACGACAUGCUAGCUGCACCUGGUUGUUAACUAGAAACAAAACAUGCAUAUUUUGCAAAAAAUUAAAACGUUUAAUCUCCAGAAGGCGUUUAAGAUCUAAUAAAGUUGCUUGUGGUGGUUCAGAUAGUAAAGAAAUGCUUAACAACUUGAGGAGGCAACUGGCUCGUGAAAAGCGUCUAAGAAAAAUUGCAGUAGAACAGAAAAGAAUGUUAUUAAAGGAGGUGUCUGAGAAAAGAAAGGAAAUAGCAACUGCCGUUAAUUAUGGGGUGUCAUUUGAAAACAUCUGUUUCCAACAUAGGGUUCUUCAUAAUCACAGAUUGGCUUUAAAAGAGAUACUAGAUACUUCGAAGACUAAACCUCAGGGUCGGAGGUAUUCAGAGGAGUGGCUGAUGUUUUGCAUAUCAAUUAGCAUUAGGUCGCCCUCCAUUUACGAAUUUUUGAGAAAAACUAAUAUAAUUCCGCUACCAAAUUUGGCAACAAUUCGAAGAUAUUUUUACGGUAAAAAUCCUAAAGGCAACUUCAAUAAAUUGUUUAUUGAUUUAGUAAAAAGCUAUCAAGUUAAAAACACCCAACAAGUCCCUGAACCUUUUAUAUAUCAAAAUGCUAGUGAUAAUGACUUUCAAUCAGAUGAAUGGUGAAAUUAUCUUUUUUAUAACUUCUUGUUUUCAUUUGCUGAAAGGAAAAUAGUAAAUUAAUUAUAUAUAUAAAUAAAACACUUAAAAUUUUACUCCGACUGAAAAAGCGUAAGGGGUUUGACGAUAUCUCUUCCGCUAAAUAACUUGGGGACCUGAAACUUUCAAAAAUCGUUUAAGAAUUGCGUUUUGUAAAAGCGCUUCUAGUAAUGUAAAAUUUAAUAAUACAAGACUUCGUUUUAUAAGGGAUUCCAAUGAUGUGAUUAAAAACUAAACAAAUUAGUUGAUCAUUGAAGUUUUAAAAUGUACUAAUCUUCUCACUUCUCACUCAAUAUUAGGAAAAGCACUUCUUACAAGAAUUUACGCCUUCUGUGGACCCUCAAGGAAAACUAGAAAUAUAUUUAUUUUAGAACAAAAUCCAAUAGAAUAUUACUUCGCUGGUAUGUUCAUAUGUUACCUAUAAAUAGGGUAAAAAUUCUAAUAUUAAUAUGUAGAGUACAUAAUAAUCGUUACAUGCAAUCAGUGAUUGCAAUUCAUUUCCUGAUGAAGUCACAGUGUCGCGAAACGGUCAUAGUGGAAAAUAAACAUAAUUAUUGUCUAUUAAGCAGAGAACUGAGGAGACUGCUGCCCAAAAUUAGUAUACAACCAGCCUGUAACGAAUCGAGAAUUGGGACAACAGAACCACGACAAAACUAUUUAUAUUUAAAGAGGACGGAGAAUUAAUAUUUUAUCCAAACAACAACACCCCAAACAAACAAAAACGUGACAACGUUUAAGAGGGAAACCCUUCGAUCGCGACUUUAGCAGCAAUUUGUGUGUUCAUGUGUAUUGUAUUGGUGUAAUUGAUAGAUAUUCUUUCUCUUCCGAAGAGAGAAGAGAAAGAACGAAUGGACCAAAGGAAAAAAUCCAUGAACGACGGUCCAAGAACAGCUGAAAAAGAAAAUAGGCGUCGGCUAGACCUUGGCAGGGUUCACCGAAACCUUAAUUCAUCCAGCGUCGGAUGUCCAGGGUCCUCAUCCUCUCCACGGUGUUUGGGGGUGGGGGGAGUGGAUUGAAGAGGGGAACCGUCGACCAUACCAUACCAUUCCAUCACAGACAUUCACUUUUCACUACCGACCGCGAACGCCACCAACUUUACGCGAAAUCAUUGAAAUGCACUUUAACGAUCGAACUAUUAACACUAAGCACACUGUAGUAAAAGACCUGGAAAAUAAAAAAAAAACCAUGACUAAAGAUUUUUGUAAUAGAUUAAAGUGUAUUAUACCCAGAGGUCAUUUCUCCUCCCGAAUAAGGGCAAUGUGUGGACACCAUCGCUAUCACACUGUAAAAAGGCUGACUUGUUGCUGGGAACCCCCUGAAGGAACGAAAAACUUAUUAAUAUGAGAAGGUCAAUUAAUAAACUGUUAAUUUGCUUAUUUCAAACCUUAAUUGGGUUGAUUAAAAAUAAAUAUGGAUAAUUUUGUAACUUGCUUAUGAUUAUAAAACACAAGAAAUUGUCUAAAAAUCAGUAAAACAAUAACUGAAGGUCGGUGUUACACAGGGCAUUUAGAAAAUAUUUUCACAAUUGAAUAAUUGCAAUUUGGAUGUAUUUGCAUUGAAAUCGUUAUUAAGAGGUGUAGGUAUCAAAAUUUUUAAUUUUCAUUUUAGUAUCAAUAAAUGUAUUUAAAAAAUCCUUACGUUAAUAUCAGAUUGCAACAACUAACGAAUUUAGUUCGUUAUCAAUAAGAUAUUUACGAUUUUUAUCAUUUUUAAUAUUUAUCACAUCAUAGGUUACAUUGUUGAAAAUUUAUCUUAAAAAAUAACGAAAAUCAUUUCGGGCCGAAAUAAGAAAAUACAUACCUCGGUUAGAGAGUCAUUAAAAGAACGGGUUUUGAUAAACAUUUUUUAGACUUUAACACUUUUAAUGUAAGAAAUUUUCAAA